Molecule: ribosomal RNA, 411 nt
Filed under: actinobacterium SCGC AAA027-J17
Lineage: Bacteria; Bacillati; Actinomycetota; Actinomycetes
Description: bacterial SSU rRNA
Rfam family: Bacterial small subunit ribosomal RNA
Source: RNAcentral
UUGGGCAAUGGAGGAAACUCUGACCCAGAGACGCCGCGUGCGGGAUGAAGGCCUUCGGGUUGUAAACCGCUUUCNGUAGGGAAGAAGCGAAAGUGACGGUACCUACAAAAGAAGCACCGGCUAACUAUGUGCCAGCAGCCGCGGUAAUACAUAGGGUGCAAGCGUUGUCCGGAAUUAUUGGGCGUAAAGAGCUCGUAGGUCGUUUGUUACGUCGGAUGUGAAAACCUGAGGCUCAACCUCAGGCCUGCAUUCGAUACGGGCAAACUAGAGUUUGGUAGGGGAGACUGGAAUUCCUGGUGUAGCGGUGGAAUGCGCAGAUAUCAGGAGGAACACCAAUGGCGAAGGCAGGUCUCUGGGCCAAUACUGACACUGAGGAGCGAAAGUCUGGGGAGCGAACAGGAUUAGAUACCC